UUGAACGCUGGCGGCAUGCUUUACACAUGCAAGUCGAACGGCAGCACGGGGGCAGCCCUGGUGGCGAGUGGCGAACGGGUGAGUAAUAUAUCGGAACAUAUCCGGGAGUGGGGGAUAACGUAGCGAAAGUUACGCUAAUACCGCAUAUGCCCUGAGGGGGAAAGUGGGGGAUCGCAAGACCUCACGCUUUCGGAGUGGCCGAUAUCGGAUUAGCUAGUUGGUGAGGUAAAGGCUCACCAAGGCGACGAUCCGUAGCUGGUCUGAGAGGACGACCAGCCACACUGGAACUGAGACACGGUCCAGACUCCUACGGGAGGCAGCAGUGGGGAAUUUUGGACAAUGGGGGCAAGCCUGAUCCAGCCAUUCCGCGUGAGUGAAGAAGGCCUUCGGGUUGUAAAGCUCUUUCAGCAGGAACGAAACGGUGGCUACUAAUACUAGCUACUAAUGACGGUACCUGAAGAAGAAGCACCGGCUAACUACGU
RNAcentral lists this ribosomal RNA (482 nucleotides) under uncultured bacterium. Its description in RNAcentral is "bacterial SSU rRNA". It matches the Rfam family "Bacterial small subunit ribosomal RNA", at positions 30 to 506 of the family's 1533-position model. The record is from RNAcentral.